RNAcentral lists this long non-coding RNA (1166 nucleotides) under Anas platyrhynchos platyrhynchos (common mallard). RNAcentral's name for it is "lncRNA (ENSAPLG00000024120.1)". Lineage: Eukaryota; Metazoa; Chordata; Aves; Anseriformes; Anatidae. The record is from RNAcentral.
AUUUCUUCAGCCCAAUUGCACAACCAAGGAAGCCGUAACCAGCAUGUCCUUUGGCUUUCAGUGUUCAGAACAUUGUGCAAAGCCCCAGUGGGCUCUGUGUGAUGCAUAUCUUUGCUUUAGCAUCUGAUUACUGGGGUUUGGUAACAAAAUGCACCCACAUACCCCCAUUACGUAGCACUUAAAUAAGAAUCACUGACAUUCUCUAAAUGGAUACUUUGUUUAAAACCUUUUUUCUUUUUUCUUUUUUUUUUUCUUUUUUUUUUUCUUUUUUUUUUUUUUUCCCCUGCCUGGCUUAAAGAUGACCAGCAGUGGGAGAAAUAGAGCUUAGGAUUUCAGCCUGCUACUCUGAAGAAACCAAGCAACGUGGGAAUCAUAUUUACCCCGAAAUAAUUCUCUCUGCUUUUAUGAACCUUUCUUUGAGCUGUAGUGCUUGAGUGCAUGAAACCCCACAUUCCUGCUGUAAAGAUGCAGAAUGGAAGAUGCCAAUGGUGCCAGUGAUCGCUUUUGCAAAUCUAUGCAAUGUCUAUCUGCAGGAAAUCAGAAAGGAAAAAAAAAAAAUCUAGUUUGGAUGGGCAAAUGCAAUCACUAUUGAAUCACUGGCAGUGGAUCAAGAUGAGGAGCUUCUCUGGGGCUGUGCUGGACCUGAGCUGAGGAUGCAUGGAAGGGGUGAAGAGAUUGCAGUGUGCAAAAUUGACUGCCACUGUCACUAAAAGAACCUGGGUUCCUGCUCACUGUCCCAUGCUGGAGGACACAAGCCCAGUGGUGAAAGCUCUACCAAGGACAAACCCGGGGUGUGCUGAAGCCCGUGUUUUGUUUGGAUGUCCCUUGAAGUGAAGGCCUGUCACUUGUAGAGUGGGGAAAAUGCCAUUUCCCUGCUGCAGAGGCCAUCAGAAGUGGUCAUCAAAGGGCUGAGAGUCAAUGGACCACACAGCAGUGCCCAGGUCUUGGGGAGGAGACAGCAAACCCUCCCUGCAGCUCAUCAGUUUUGAGAAAUGCUUCAAGGUCUGCAGAGGGCUUCCCAGAAGGAGGUAUAGAAGGACCUUUUUCUACUUUUGAAAACUAAAUUAGUGCUUUUGUGUGAGGCUUUCCCUGCCUCAUUUUGGGAAUUGAUAAUCUUUUUCGUGUCUAAGGAAACCUGGACAAAAAUAAAAUUUCAACCCAGCUCA